This is a long non-coding RNA of Sitophilus oryzae (rice weevil), 656 nucleotides long. RefSeq lists it as uncharacterized. Lineage: Eukaryota; Metazoa; Arthropoda; Insecta; Coleoptera; Curculionidae. The transcript is spliced from 3 exons. The record is from RefSeq and is a predicted model, not a curated record.
UGUAACUAAAGACAUCCAGUAAAUGGACUUUGGCAACUUUAAUAUUCCCAUUUUUACUGAAGAAUUUCUUGAUCACAAUAAAAGAAGAGAUGCAGAAUUAAGCUCAGAAAAAUCAAUACAGAUUACGAGCACAGAAUGCCACUCUGACUAAACACAUUGAAAACGGCCAUAACUAAGCUGGAAACGGAGAUUUCACAACAGGAAAAGAAUAUUGCAACAGCAUCUAGAGCAUCUUAGGGCUACUCUGGCCACGGGAUUCGGUGGUGUUAAGUUACCAGGAAUCAGAGAAACUGCUUCUUUGCAAAAUAUUGACAAUGACGAACUUACACUCGAUGUUACUGGAAAACAGCAGUCACAAUACGAAUUUGUUACAAACGGUCCGUGGCAGAGUUGGAGUUUAAUGGAUGACCGACAGUGAGGGCUUCGAAAAGGAAAAGAAAAGCAAACAAGUUUUUUUAAUCGAACUGGCACUAAUUUAUUUUAUCGAUUUUGACUAUCGGGAUGAGUGUGUUAAUUUUACUUAGGUUUUAAGUAAUUGCAUUAUUUUAAUUCUUGCUGGAAUUUAUAUAAUAAAUUGCUGGUUUUUUAUAAUUGUAUACAUAUAUUGAUAAAUUAGAUGGCUAAUCUAAGAUUGUAUUAGGUAUCUUGGACUAAUA